GGGGCUGAUUCUGGAUUCGACGGGAUUUGCGAAACCCAAGGUGCAUGCCGAGGGGCGGUUGGCCUCGUAAAAAGCCGCAAAAAAUAGUCGCAAACGACGAAAACUACGCUUUAGCAGCUUAAUAACCUGCUUAGAGCCCUCUCUCUCCCUAGCCUCCGCUCUUAGGACGGGGAUCAAGAGAGGUCAAACCCAAAAGAGAUCGCGUGGAAGCCCUGCCUGGGGUUGAAGCGUUAAAACUUAAUCAGGCUAGUUUGUUAGUGGCGUGUCCGUCCGCAGCUGGCAAGCGAAUGUAAAGACUGACUAAGCAUGUAGUACCGAGGAUGUAGGAAUUUCGGACGCGGGUUCAACUCCCGCCAGCUCCACCA
This 365-nucleotide transfer-messenger RNA is filed under the name Escherichia coli. Its description in RNAcentral is "Standard tmRNA". It matches the Rfam family "transfer-messenger RNA". Rfam says of the family: Bacterial tmRNA, also known as 10Sa RNA or SsrA, is named for its dual tRNA and mRNA-like properties. Its role is to liberate the mRNA from a stalled ribosome. Lineage: Bacteria; Pseudomonadati; Pseudomonadota; Gammaproteobacteria; Enterobacterales; Enterobacteriaceae. The record is from RNAcentral. RNAcentral also lists the same sequence under 1 other name.